GUCAGCAAUAGUUACCUGUCAACCGGU
This 27-nucleotide small RNA is filed under the name Bombyx mori (domestic silkworm). Its description in RNAcentral is "ovarian small RNA-17714". The record is from RNAcentral. Lineage: Eukaryota; Metazoa; Arthropoda; Insecta; Lepidoptera; Bombycidae.